This 97-nucleotide small nucleolar RNA is filed under the name Sciurus vulgaris (Eurasian red squirrel). RNAcentral describes it as "Small nucleolar RNA U13 (ENSSVLG00005016067.1)". It matches the Rfam family "Small nucleolar RNA U13". Lineage: Eukaryota; Metazoa; Chordata; Mammalia; Rodentia; Sciuridae. The record is from Rfam by way of RNAcentral.
GUCCUUUUCAAUUUGUAAGUGUGAUGAUUGUGUGUUUACGUUCUUGUGUGAAAUGUCUCCCUCUAAGUCUUGUUAUGACAUCAGUGCCCAUCUGACA